This 292-nucleotide ribosomal RNA is filed under the name uncultured bacterium. Its description in RNAcentral is "partial 16S ribosomal RNA". It matches the Rfam family "Bacterial small subunit ribosomal RNA", at positions 505 to 796 of the family's 1533-position model. The record is from RNAcentral.
GUGUCAGCCGCCGCGGUAAGACGAAGGAUGCAAGCGUUAUCCGGAUUCAUUGGGUUUAAAGGGAGCGUAGGCGGCCUUGUAAGUCAGUGGUGAAAUCUCUCGGCUUAACCGAGAAAUUGCCAUUGAUACUGCAGGGCUUGAGUACAGUUGCCGUUGGCGGAAUAUGACAUGUAGUGGUGAAAUACAUAGAGAUGUCAUAGAACACCGAUUGCGAAGGCAGCUAACGAAACUGUAACUGACGCUGAGGCUCGAAAGUGCGGGGAUCAAACAGGAUUAGAUACCCCAGUAGUCC